Molecule: ribosomal RNA, 176 nt
Filed under: uncultured phototrophic eukaryote
Lineage: Eukaryota
Description: partial 16S ribosomal RNA
Rfam family: Bacterial small subunit ribosomal RNA
Source: RNAcentral
GACUCCUACGGGAGGCAGCAGUGGGGAAUUUUCCGCAAUGGGCGAAAGCUUGACGGAGCAAUCUCGCGUGAGGGAUGACGGCCUAUGGGUUGUAAACCUCUUUUUUCAGGGAGGAAUCAAUGACGUGUACCUGAAGAAUAAGCAUCGGCUAACUCCGUGCCAGCAGCCGCGGUAAU